UUGGGCACCAAUAGCUGAGAGACCUUUCAGGAAUCUUAGAGUUUAUACAAAUAACUUGUGGGAGUUUUGAAAGUGUAGAGAUAAUGUACUAAUGUAUUGUGUUGUUUUUCAGAAACCCCAAGUCAUACAACAAGAACAAUAAUGCAUACUACUUCCCAUUCACACAUGACUACCAACGGUAAGGCCUUGCAAGUUGGCAGGAGUGCCGUUAAGCCAAGCACCAUUCCAGUGAUCAAGAGACAGAGGCAAAACUGGCUAGAUGCGCCCAGUGAUGAUUACUUUAUAGCUACAGAAGAGACCAGGUUCACUUAUUGUUAGUGGCAAAUGGAAAUGUGUCUAAUGAUCAACUAGGCUAGGAUGGAACAAGAAGAUUGGUGAACUGAACUUAAACUCAAGAACCUGCUUUCGUGUUCCAGAUACUGCCUGAAGAGGGUUAAUUUGUAUACCCUGAACAUCACUGUAACUGACAUUGCAGUCAGAGACAACCCCCAUACUGAAGUCUGUUAAGGAAGCCCAGCUGAAUAAUCAGACCACUUCCUGAACUACUGGCAAGCUCAGAGGAACACAGAAGCUACAGAAAAUUUCGUAAACAGUUCACCCGGUCACAGUUAAAAAGAGCUUCCAGAACACCUUGUGCUCCAAUCACUGUGACGACAAAGUCCCUUGUGAACCACAGGCUAGUAUGGACGGAACCAGCAACCAUCAUGCACUGAAGAUAUAGCAGCAACACAAUCACAUCAGUUUUUUACAUUGCAAAUGCCGAUGUGAAAAGAUAUUCUGAGUCUUAACGUAUAUAAAAAACAAAUACUGGGGGGCCAGAUUGCAGCUGACUCCUGUGUUCUGGACAUGACACAACUGCAGCCCUUGCAUUCUCCUUGUGUGCAAGGACUGUUGCUGGCUACCAGUGUUAGCCUGUCUCAUUAGGGGCAUGCAGACAGUCCCACUCCUCUCUCCACACCAGUCGUCAGAGUUGGCUGAUCACUGAGUGGGAAUACACUGUUCCUGUUAAGGGGUGUGGUUGCUGCAUGCUUCCCCUGUACUUGCCUAUGCCUUCUGGAGCUCCUGGUGGGGGACUGGUGCAGAACUACACCACCUGGAUCAUUGUUUUUAAAGCACAGUUUAGCUAAUAGGGCCACAUUUUCAAAAUUGGCCAUUGACUGUGGGUGUCUGGAUUUUCAAUGUUCAACUUGAGGCACCUUGGGUCUGAUUUUCAAAAGUAUUGAGUAUCCAUAACUCCAACUGAGGGCAAAUAAAGGAGAUGUGGGUGUCCAGCACUUCUGAAAGGCCAAAGGUCUCUAAAAUGGGGCACUCACUUUUCAAAACGUUGGCUGAGUAAGCUUUGGUGUGAUCCAGAAAACUAUUAAUGUGAGUGGACCUCCCCUGGACUAGUUGCAUGUUUAGGGGCUACGCCCAUUAUUUAUUUAUAUAUUUAAGUAUUAUUUCAAUUUAUAAUGAUGUAAAAGCACCUCUCUGGGUGCCUUUGAUAUAAUUCAAAAUAACAAUUCAACAACAAAAAACCUGCAACAGAUCCCUAUUGAAACUCCACCCCAACACAAACAAAUUGGAGGGAUUUUUUCCCAUCAAAACUCCUUCUCCAAUAAACAAAUACCACCUUAGUCAGAUGGGCAAAAAGAUGGUUUCACAGCAUGAUCUGAAAUUCACGGGUCCCAGACUGUUUUGGGUGAAAGGUGGAAGCUUGUUCCACAGCUGAGGGGUCAUCCUGGAGAAUGCUGUAUCUUUAGCGCCAGCUUUGAGGGGACUUCAACUUAUCUAUCUCUGCAGUCGGGAACAGCUGCAGGAUGGCAUAGAGGCAGAGGUAGGUCUGAACUGAGUCAGAAAGGGAAGAUGCCAAUAAUUCACCAGACUGGCAGCAUCAAGUGUUGGUUUCUUGAAGCAAGGUCACCCAGAUGCUUCCUUAAGAAAAGUAGGUACUCAGAUCUCCCAAAGGGAGGUGAUGACAAUCUACACCAGUGCUGUACUUACUACUUCACCACUGUUCACCAGACAGGAAAGCAGACAGCUCAAAUCAAAUGUGUUGUGUUCACAAAAUCUGUUAUUUCCUCACAACAGGAGGGAUUCUCAGUAGGUACUGGAAGGAGACAGCCUGUUCUCAUUAGCGAGAAUUGCAGGAGCCAGCCUUUAUAACCAGCAGACGUGGAAACACCUUCUGUGUAAUGAAUUCCUUCCCCCUCAAAGUUAUAAAACGUCAUUAUUUAGCAAAGUACAUGAUUAAAACUAUGAAAAACUUGUACAGGAAAAAGCUGUGUCUCCCACAAACAUCCCUGAAAUCAUAUGCAGCAAAUUCAUUUUCAAAAUGUCAUGUAAAUGUGUGGUUUCAGAGUAACAGCCGUGUUAGUCUGUAUUCGCAAAAAGAAAAGGAGUACUUGUGGCACCUUAGAGACUAACCAAUUUAUU
This is a long non-coding RNA of Chelonia mydas (Green sea turtle), 2415 nucleotides long. RefSeq lists it as uncharacterized. The transcript is spliced from 5 exons. Lineage: Eukaryota; Metazoa; Chordata; Testudines; Cheloniidae. The record is from RefSeq and is a predicted model, not a curated record.